Orbicella faveolata is the source of this 1138-nucleotide long non-coding RNA. NCBI's taxonomy places the organism in Eukaryota, Metazoa, Cnidaria, Anthozoa, Scleractinia, Merulinidae. The record is from RefSeq and is a predicted model, not a curated record.
GAGUUGUUCUUUGCAUUUCUAGCAAUGUAGUCAAACUCAAGAUAUGAAAUUAUUUGGAGAUUUAAUUGUCAAGAUGAAUUUCCCCAACAAGGAUCCUACAACGACUUUUUCUCAGUUGACUGAGGACACGGACCUUUUGGCCGUUCUUGGUGACUUGCUUGAUACAGACGAUGUAGACAGACUUACAGCUCAGCAAACACUACAGCAAGCGUACUUCUGCAAGUGUGUUUGACUUCAAACACUGCCUCGACUCUGGAGUUUUGAACAUUUUAUUGUUAUUGUAUAGACAAACUGUUUGCACAAACUUGAACUCUGAAAAACCAGGAAAUGAAGUCAUCAAUAUCAUCACUGGUGAGGACAUGGAAAGUACCCCACGCCAGAUGUAAUUUCGUAUAAAUUUUACGAGUGGUAUAUUUUCCAAAACUGCACGGGCUUUGAGUCGAGUGCUGUUUGAGAUAAUUAGCUUAGUGACACGUGAUAAAUACAGGAUACUAACAUGACCGAGCGGGGCCCGGGUUCGGGGUUACGAAUGUUAUCUUCACAUGCUGAUGGUGUGAGCAACAGAUACCAUCGAUACGAGAAGAUAAAAUUCGUAUCUCCAAGUGGCCAUGCAAUGUUCUGUUUAUUAUAUGGUUAUUGAUGAAACAUCAAGAUCCAAGUCUCAGUUAUUCUAUUCACCAAGGUCUGGACUGUAAUCGAAAAUGUUUAAAUUUACACAAUUAACCAUUUUAACGAAACCCAAAGAUAAAGUACGUUUUCGUCUUAAUAAAAAAGUCAAAUUCAACUUCAGUGAUGUUGAAAGAUAGAUCAUACAUUUUCCGUAACCAUGACGACAUCGAUAUCCUCACGUGUGAAAGAUAAAAAUAGUAUCUUCACUACGCACGACAAGGAAAUUAAAUUUCAUAACCAAGAAAAAUCCCAGUAUUAAAUCAAUACCUGUGUAACGAGAUGUGUAAGUAAGUAAACGUGAUAGUAAGCAACAGAAGUAACGUGCCGAUGAUUAAGUGUUGUAUGCCAUUACAGCGGCUGAAACAAAUGUGUGUGUAUUUAAACUGUGUACAUGAAAUCCAGCUACUGAGAUUUCCGAUACAAGUACUUUAUGGCAUUAAAAAAAAAAAAAAAAAAAACAUUUCUGCUA